UUAAGCGACUAAGCGUACACGGUGGAUGCCCUGGCAGUCAGAGGCGAUGAAGGACGUGCUAAUCUGCGAAAAGCGUCGGUAAGGUGAUAUGAACCGUUAUAGCCGGCGAUGUCCGAAUGGGGAAACCCAGUGCAAUUCGUUGCACUAUCGUUAACUGAAUACAUAGGUUAACGAGGCGAACCGGGGGAACUGAAACAUCUAAGUACCCCGAGGAAAAGAAAUCAACCGAGAUUCCCCCAGUAGCGGCGAGCGAACGGGGAGCAGCCCAGAGUCUGAAUCAGCUUGUGUGUUAGUGGAACGGUCUGGAAAGUCCGACGGUACAGGGUGAUAGUCCCGUACACCAAAAUGCACAGGCUGUGAACUCGAAGAGUAGGGCGGGACACGUGGUAUCCUGUCUGAAUAUGGGGGGACCAUCCUCCAAGGCUAAAUACUCCUGACUGACCGAUAGUGAACCAGUACCGUGAGGGAAAGGCGAAAAGAACCCCGGCGAGGGGAGUGAAAAAGAACCUGAAACCGUGUACGUACAAGCAGUGGGAGCACCUUCGGGUGUGACUGCGUACCUUUUGUAUAAUGGGUCAGCGACUUAUAUUCUGUAGCAAGGUUAACCGUAUAGGGGAGCCGCAGGGAAACCGAGUCUUAACUGGGCGUUAAGUUGCAGGGUAUAGACCCGAAACCCGGUGAUCUAGCCAUGGGCAGGUUGAAGGUUGGGUAACACUAACUGGAGGACCGAACCGACUAAUGUUGAAAAAUUAGCGGAUGACUUGUGGCUGGGGGUGAAAGGCCAAUCAAACCGGGAGAUAGCUGGUUCUCCCCGAAAGCUAUUUAGGUAGCGCCUCGUGAACUCAUCUUCGGGGGUAGAGCACUGUUUCGGCUAGGGGGUCAUCCCGACUUACCAACCCGAUGCAAACUACGAAUACCGAAGAAUGUUAUCACGGGAGACACACGGCGGGUGCUAACGUCCGUCGUGAAGAGGGAAACAACCCAGACCGCCAGCUAAGGUCCCAAAGUCAUGGUUAAGUGGGAAACGAUGUGGGAAGGCACAGACAGCCAGGAUGUUGGCUUAGAAGCAGCCAUCAUUUAAAGAAAGCGUAAUAGCUCACUGGUCGAGUCGGCCUGCGCGGAAGAUGUAACGGGGCUAAACCAUGCACCGAAGCUGCGGCAGCGACACUAUGUGUUGUUGGGUAGGGGAGCGUUCUGUAAGCCUGCGAAGGUGUGCUGUGAGGCAUGCUGGAGGUAUCAGAAGUGCGAAUGCUGACAUAAGUAACGAUAAAGCGGGUGAAAAGCCCGCUCGCCGGAAGACCAAGGGUUCCUGUCCAACGUUAAUCGGGGCAGGGUGAGUCGACCCCUAAGGCGAGGCCGAAAGGCGUAGUCGAUGGGAAACAGGUUAAUAUUCCUGUACUUGGUGUUACUGCGAAGGGGGGACGGAGAAGGCUAUGUUAGCCGGGCGACGGUUGUCCCGGUUUAAGCAUGUAGGCUGGUUGUCCAGGCAAAUCCGGAUAAUCAAGGCUGAGGUGUGAUGACGAGGCACUACGGUGCUGAAGUAACAAAUGCCCUGCUUCCAGGAAAAGCCUCUAAGCAUCAGGUAACAUUAAAUCGUACCCCAAACCGACACAGGUGGUCAGGUAGAGAAUACCAAGGCGCUUGAGAGAACUCGGGUGAAGGAACUAGGCAAAAUGGUGCCGUAACUUCGGGAGAAGGCACGCUGGUGUGUAGGUGAAGUCCCUGCGGAUGGAGCUGAGACCAGUCGAAGAUACCAGCUGGCUGCAACUGUUUAUUAAAAACACAGCACUGUGCAAACACGAAAGUGGACGUAUACGGUGUGACGCCUGCCCGGUGCCGGAAGGUUAAUUGAUGGGGUUAUCCGUAAGGAGAAGCUCUUGAUCGAAGCCCCGGUAAACGGCGGCCGUAACUAUAACGGUCCUAAGGUAGCGAAAUUCCUUGUCGGGUAAGUUCCGACCUGCACGAAUGGCGUAAUGAUGGCCAGGCUGUCUCCACCCGAGACUCAGUGAAAUUGAACUCGCUGUGAAGAUGCAGUGUACCCGCGGCAAGACGGAAAGACCCCGUGAACCUUUACUAUAGCUUGACACUGAACAUUGAGCCUUGAUGUGUAGGAUAGGUGGGAGGCUUUGAAGCGUGGACGCCAGUCUGCGUGGAGCCAACCUUGAAAUACCACCCUUUAAUGUUUGAUGUUCUAACGUUGGCCCCUUACCGGGGUUGCGGACAGUGUCUGGUGGGUAGUUUGACUGGGGCGGUCUCCUCCUAAAGCGUAACGGAGGAGCACGAAGGUUAGCUAAUCCUGGUCGGACAUCAGGAGGUUAGUGCAAUGGCAUAAGCUAGCUUGACUGCGAGCGUGACGGCGCGAGCAGGUGCGAAAGCAGGUCAUAGUGAUCCGGUGGUUCUGAAUGGAAGGGCCAUCGCUCAACGGAUAAAAGGUACUCCGGGGAUAACAGGCUGAUACCGCCCAAGAGUUCAUAUCGACGGCGGUGUUUGGCACCUCGAUGUCGGCUCAUCACAUCCUGGGGCUGAAGUAGGUCCCAAGGGUAUGGCUGUUCGCCAUUUAAAGUGGUACGCGAGCUGGGUUUAGAACGUCGUGAGACAGUUCGGUCCCUAUCUGCCGUGGGCGCUGGAGAAUUGAGGGGGGCUGCUCCUAGUACGAGAGGACCGGAGUGGACGCAUCACUGGUGUUCGGGUUGUCAUGCCAAUGGCACUGCCCGGUAGCUAAAUGCGGAAGAGAUAAGUGCUGAAAGCAUCUAAGCACGAAACUUGCCCCGAGAUGAGUUCUCCCUGAGACUUUAAGUCUCCUGAAGGAACGUUAAAGACGAUGACGUUGAUAGGCCGGGUGUGUAAGCGCAGCGAUGCGUUGAGCUAACCGGUACUAAUGAACCGUGAGGCUUAACCUU
RNAcentral lists this ribosomal RNA (2900 nucleotides) under Klebsiella pneumoniae. RNAcentral describes it as "bacterial LSU rRNA". It matches the Rfam family "Bacterial large subunit ribosomal RNA". The record is from RNAcentral. Lineage: Bacteria; Pseudomonadati; Pseudomonadota; Gammaproteobacteria; Enterobacterales; Enterobacteriaceae.